GCUAUAUACAGGGGUACUGGUACAGAGUCAAUGUGGAGGCUAUAUACAGGGGGUACCGGUACAGAGUCAAUGUGGAGGAUAUAUACAGGGGGUACCGGUACAGAGUCAAUGUGGAGGAUAUAUACAGGGGGUACCGGUACAGAGUCAAUGUGGAGGCUAUAUACAGGGGGUACCGGUACAGAGUCGAUGUGGAGGCUAUAUACAGGGGGUACCGGUACAGAGUCAAUGUGGAGGCUAUAUACAGGGGGUACCGGUACAGAGUCAAUGUGGAGGCUAUAUACAGGGGUACCGGUACAGAGUCAAUGUGGAGG
Oncorhynchus tshawytscha (Chinook salmon) is the source of this 311-nucleotide long non-coding RNA. Lineage: Eukaryota; Metazoa; Chordata; Actinopteri; Salmoniformes; Salmonidae. The record is from Ensembl.